This 539-nucleotide ribosomal RNA is filed under the name uncultured bacterium. Its description in RNAcentral is "bacterial SSU rRNA". It matches the Rfam family "Bacterial small subunit ribosomal RNA", at positions 777 to 1319 of the family's 1533-position model. The record is from RNAcentral.
AAUAGAUACCCGGGUAGUCCACGCCGUAAACGAUGAAUACUAGGUGUGGGGGUUGUCAUGACCUCCGUGCCGCCGCUAACGCAUUAAGUAUUCCGCCUGGGGAGUACGGUCGCAAGAUUAAAACUCAAAGGAAUUGACGGGGGCCCGCACAAGCAGCGGAGCAUGUGGUUUAAUUCGAAGCAACGCGAAGAACCUUACCUAGACUUGACAUCUCCUGAAUUACUCUGUAAUGGAGGAAGCCCUUCGGGGCAGGAAGACAGGUGGUGCAUGGUUGUCGUCAGCUCGUGUCGUGAGAUGUUGGGUUAAGUCCCGCAACGAGCGCAACCCUUAUUGUUAGUUGCUACCAUUUAGUUGAACACUCUAACGAGACUGCCCGAGUUAACCGGGAGGAAGGUGGGGAUGACGUCAAAUCAUCAUGCCCCUUAUGUCUAGGGCUACACACGUGCUACAAUGGCUGGUACAGAGAGAUGCAAUACCGCGAGGUGGAGCCAAACUUCAAAACCAGUCUCAGUUCGGAUUGUAGGCUGAAACUCGCCUAC